Molecule: ribosomal RNA, 425 nt
Filed under: uncultured bacterium
Lineage: Bacteria
Description: bacterial SSU rRNA
Rfam family: Bacterial small subunit ribosomal RNA
Source: RNAcentral
GGGGAAUUUUGGACAAUGGGGGCAACCCUGAUCCAGCCAUCCCGCGUGUGCGAUGAAGGCCUUCGGGUUGUAAAGCACUUUUGGCAGGGAAGAAACGGCGCGGGCUAAUAACCUGCGCAACUGACGGUACCUGCAGAAUAAGCACCGGCUAACUACGUGCCAGCAGCCGCGGUAAUACGUAGGGUGCAAGCGUUAAUCGGAAUUACUGGGCGUAAAGCGUGCGCAGGCGGUUUGGAAAGAAAGAUGUGAAAUCCCAGAGCUUAACUUUGGAACUGCAUUUUUAACUGCCAAGCUAGAGUAUGUCAGAGGGGGGUAGAAUUCCACGUGUAGCAGUGAAAUGCGUAGAGAUGUGGAGGAAUACCGAUGGCGAAGGCAGCCCCCUGGGAUAAUACUGACGCUCAUGCACGAAAGCGUGGGGAGCAAAC